UUAAGCGACUAAGCGUACACGGUGGAUGCCCUGGCAGUCAGAGGCGAUGAAGGGCGUGCUAAUCUGCGAUAAGCGCCGGUAAGGUGAUAUGAACCGUUAUAACCGGCGAUACCCGAAUGGGGAAACCCAGUGUGACUCGUCACACUAUCAUUAACUGAAUCCAUAGGUUAAUGAGGCGAACCGGGGGAACUGAAACAUCUAAGUACCCCGAGGAAAAGAAAUCAACCGAGAUUCCCCCAGUAGCGGCGAGCGAACGGGGAGGAGCCCAGAGCCUGAAUCAGCAUGUGUGUUAGUGGAAGCGUCUGGAAAGGCGCGCGAUACAGGGUGACAGCCCCGUACACAAAAGCGCAUGUGCUGUGAGCUCGAUGAGUAGGGCGGGACACGUGGUAUCCUGUCUGAAUAUGGGGGGACCAUCCUCCAAGGCUAAAUACUCCUGACUGACCGAUAGUGAACCAGUACCGUGAGGGAAAGGCGAAAAGAACCCCGGCGAGGGGAGUGAAAAAGAACCUGAAACCGUGUACGUACAAGCAGUGGGAGCACAGGUUUACCUGUGUGACUGCGUACCUUUUGUAUAAUGGGUCAGCGACUUAUAUUCUGUAGCAAGGUUAACCGUAUAGGGGAGCCGUAGGGAAACCGAGUCUUAACCGGGCGUUAAGUUGCAGGGUAUAGACCCGAAACCCGGUGAUCUAGCCAUGGGCAGGUUGAAGGUUGGGUAACACUAACUGGAGGACCGAACCGACUAAUGUUGAAAAAUUAGCGGAUGACCUGUGGCUGGGGGUGAAAGGCCAAUCAAACCGGGAGAUAGCUGGUUCUCCCCGAAAGCUAUUUAGGUAGCGCCUCGUGAAUUCAUCUCCGGGGGUAGAGCACUGUUUCGGCUAGGGGGCCAUCCCGGCUUACCAACCCGAUGCAAACUGCGAAUACCGGAGAAUGUUAUCACGGGAGACACACGGCGGGUGCUAACGUCCGUCGUGAAGAGGGAAACAACCCAGACCGCCAGCUAAGGUCCCAAAGUCAUGGUUAAGUGGGAAACGAUGUGGGAAGGCCCAGACAGCCAGGAUGUUGGCUUAGAAGCAGCCAUCAUUUAAAGAAAGCGUAAUAGCUCACUGGUCGAGUCGGCCUGCGCGGAAGAUGUAACGGGGCUAAACCAUGCACCGAAGCUGCGGCAGCGACACUGUGUGUUGUUGGGUAGGGGAGCGUUCUGUAAGCCUGUGAAGGUGGCCUGUGAGGGUUGCUGGAGGUAUCAGAAGUGCGAAUGCUGACAUAAGUAACGAUAAAGCGGGUGAAAAGCCCGCUCGCCGGAAGACCAAGGGUUCCUGUCCAACGUUAAUCGGGGCAGGGUGAGUCGACCCCUAAGGCGAGGCCGAAAGGCGUAGUCGAUGGGAAACGGGUUAAUAUUCCCGUACUUGGUGUUACUGCGAAGGGGGGACGGAGAAGGCUAUGUUGGCCGGGCGACGGUUGUCCCGGUUUAAGCGUGUAGGUGUGUGUUCCAGGUAAAUCCGGUUCACUUUAACACUGAGGCGUGACGACGAGGCACUACGGUGCUGAAGCAACAAAUGCCCUGCUUCCAGGAAAAGCCUCUAAGCAUCAGGUAACAUCAAAUCGUACCCCAAACCGACACAGGUGGUCAGGUAGAGAAUACCAAGGCGCUUGAGAGAACUCGGGUGAAGGAACUAGGCAAAAUGGUGCCGUAACUUCGGGAGAAGGCACGCUGACACGUAGGUGAAGUGAUUUACUCAUGGAGCUGAAGUCAGUCGAAGAUACCAGCUGGCUGCAACUGUUUAUUAAAAACACAGCACUGUGCAAACACGAAAGUGGACGUAUACGGUGUGACGCCUGCCCGGUGCCGGAAGGUUAAUUGAUGGGGUCAGCGCAAGCGAAGCUCCUGAUCGAAGCCCCGGUAAACGGCGGCCGUAACUAUAACGGUCCUAAGGUAGCGAAAUUCCUUGUCGGGUAAGUUCCGACCUGCACGAAUGGCGUAAUGAUGGCCAGGCUGUCUCCACCCGAGACUCAGUGAAAUUGAACUCGCUGUGAAGAUGCAGUGUACCCGCGGCAAGACGGAAAGACCCCGUGAACCUUUACUAUAGCUUGACACUGAACAUUGAGCCUUGAUGUGUAGGAUAGGUGGGAGGCUUUGAAGUGUGGACGCCAGUCUGCAUGGAGCCGACCUUGAAAUACCACCCUUUAAUGUUUGAUGUUCUAACGUGGACCCGUAAUCCGGGUUGCGGACAGUGUCUGGUGGGUAGUUUGACUGGGGCGGUCUCCUCCUAAAGAGUAACGGAGGAGCACGAAGGUUGGCUAAUCCUGGUCGGACAUCAGGAGGUUAGUGCAAUGGCAUAAGCCAGCUUGACUGCGAGCGUGACGGCGCGAGCAGGUGCGAAAGCAGGUCAUAGUGAUCCGGUGGUUCUGAAUGGAAGGGCCAUCGCUCAACGGAUAAAAGGUACUCCGGGGAUAACAGGCUGAUACCGCCCAAGAGUUCAUAUCGACGGCGGUGUUUGGCACCUCGAUGUCGGCUCAUCACAUCCUGGGGCUGAAGUAGGUCCCAAGGGUAUGGCUGUUCGCCAUUUAAAGUGGUACGCGAGCUGGGUUUAGAACGUCGUGAGACAGUUCGGUCCCUAUCUGCCGUGGGCGCUGGAGAACUGAGGGGGGCUGCUCCUAGUACGAGAGGACCGGAGUGGACGCAUCACUGGUGUUCGGGUUGUCAUGCCAAUGGCACUGCCCGGUAGCUAAAUGCGGAAGAGAUAAGUGCUGAAAGCAUCUAAGCACGAAACUUGCCCCGAGAUGAGUUCUCCCUGAGACUUAGAGUCUCCUGAAGGAACGUUGAAGACGACGACGUUGAUAGGCCGGGUGUGUAAGCGCAGCGAUGCGUUGAGCUAACCGGUACUAAUGAACCGUGAGGCUUAACCUU
This 2905-nucleotide ribosomal RNA is filed under the name Salmonella enterica subsp. enterica serovar Typhimurium. RNAcentral describes it as "bacterial LSU rRNA". It matches the Rfam family "Bacterial large subunit ribosomal RNA". The record is from RNAcentral. Lineage: Bacteria; Pseudomonadati; Pseudomonadota; Gammaproteobacteria; Enterobacterales; Enterobacteriaceae.